GGUUUGAACCAGGUCUGCUUGGUUUCACCUGCUUCAGAAACCAUCUGAGGUCCGCUUUAUGGCCAACAUGGAGCUGAAAACCACAGACUGGGACUAAAAGUCUCACUUCAGGGAGAAUAACUAAACUUUCUCUGUUUGAAAUGAAAACCUUUUGAGGAGUCUUUCCACACAGAGACGCGUGGAUUUGGAUUUCUCUGCAUUGCUUGUCAGACAACAUUUACCUGUUCUGCUGCAUUCCAGGUGGUGUCCAGCCCGCAGGGACAUCCUGAGACCCGCAGGAACAUCCUGAAACGUUUGUAACCUGUAGCAUUUUUAUCAUGGAGGUCAUAUAUAGAAAGGAAAUUCAGCGCUGAAUUGUGUUUCUUUAUUCCUGUCGCUGUGAAUCAGGAGCAGAUGGAAGAAGGCCGUUUAAAAAAAGCUUGUAGGCGUGAUAGAAGCUACAAUCUCCAGGACUGGAUCUAUACUGUACGGUUCUGACGUUGCUCUGAUGUGCCAUCAGUUCUACUGAACUCCUGCCGCUCUGCAGAAACUGUCCUGAAACACACACUCCUCAUUAAAAGAACAGAAGGCAGAGCAGCUCGUGACCUGGUGCACGCGUGAGGUCAGCGUGUUCCUUCUGGAAAAACAGAGCCGGAGACUCGUCUGGAGACAGCACAGCGGCUGAGGACAAACUCCACCAAAAGCUCUUCAAAUGCUAAAAGAUUCUCUGAGUUCUUCGGACCAAGUCCGCUACUGUUGGUUUUAUCUCCAUAGCAACUAUUUUAUGUUUGGGUGACAAACAGGUCAAUGUCAUUUUUGGAUGAUCUGCAAAAGUAAACUUUGGGAUUUCCUUG
This is a non-coding RNA of Oryzias latipes (Japanese medaka), 833 nucleotides long. NCBI's taxonomy places the organism in Eukaryota, Metazoa, Chordata, Actinopteri, Beloniformes, Adrianichthyidae. The record is from RefSeq and is a predicted model, not a curated record.